CUUCUCCACUAGGCAGUUAGUUCCAAAGUACAUUUGGAAUCUGACAGUUGAGCAUUCUAAAAGUCAGGCUUAAUUUUGCUUAGAAAUCCUGUCAGCAGCCCCCAGCAGCUGCUCUCCUGCCAGCCUGGGAAGUGGAAGAGAGGACCCCACUGCAGCUUCCCCACUCCCCCAGGCCAGGGGAGGGUGAUGAACCCUAAGAAGCAGAGGUGAAGCUAGAGGCUGCCCUGAGGCUGAAGGUAAAUGCAGCUUGUCUCCAGGCUGAGGGAAGCUAAGUGACUUGCCUUAUGUCACACUGCAAAUGAAUGAACCACACUGCAAAGCUGCGAACAGAACCCAAGUUACCUCACUCCAGAGGUGAAUAUUCAGGACUGCUUGCCACACCACCACAUACCGGGUUUAGGUCAUAUAGGAAGGUUGAUACAGACGAUUUCAAGACUCUAUCCACUACAUCACACACCAAAUUCUCCAGACGGGUCAACAAGUCUU
Molecule: long non-coding RNA, 486 nt
Organism: Chrysemys picta bellii (western painted turtle)
Lineage: Eukaryota; Metazoa; Chordata; Testudines; Emydidae
Source: RefSeq, a predicted model, not a curated record